GAUGAACGCUGGCGGCGUGCCUAAUACAUGCAAGUCGAGCGAACAGACGAGGAGCUUGCUCCUCUGACGUUAGCGGCGGACGGGUGUGUAACACGUGGAUAACCUACCUAUAAGACUGGGAUAACUUCGGGAAACCGGAGCUAAUACCGGAUAAUAUAUUGAACCGCAUUGUGCAAUAGUGAAAGACGGUUUUGCGGUCUCUUAUAGCUGGAUCCGCGCCGCAUUAGCUAGUUGGUAAGGUAACGGCUUACCAAGGCAACGAUGCGUAGGCGACCUGAGGGGGUGAUAGCCCACACUGGAACUGAGACACGGUCCAGACUCCUACGGGAGGCAGCAGUAGGGAAUCGUCCGCAAUGGGCGAAAGCAUGACGGAGCAAGGCGGAGUGAGUGAUGAAGGUCUUCGGAUCGUAAUACUCUGUUAUUAGGGAAGAACAAAUGUGUAAGUAACUAUGCACGUCUUGACGGUACCUAAUAAGAAAGCAACGGCUAACUACGUG
Molecule: ribosomal RNA, 497 nt
Filed under: uncultured bacterium
Lineage: Bacteria
Description: partial 16S ribosomal RNA
Rfam family: Bacterial small subunit ribosomal RNA
Source: RNAcentral